GUGUGUAUGUAUGUGUGCAUGUGCACGGGUAUGUGUGAAUGUAUGCUACAGUGCAUGCAUAGCCAUCAGA
Molecule: microRNA precursor, 70 nt
Filed under: Cricetulus griseus (Chinese hamster)
Lineage: Eukaryota; Metazoa; Chordata; Mammalia; Rodentia; Cricetidae
Description: miRNA (ENSCGRG00001004830.1)
Source: RNAcentral